Molecule: unclassified non-coding RNA, 190 nt
Filed under: Clostridium grantii DSM 8605
Lineage: Bacteria; Bacillati; Bacillota; Clostridia; Eubacteriales; Clostridiaceae
Description: 6S / SsrS RNA
Source: RNAcentral
AUAUUUCUGAAUUAUACGUGUGCUCUUGUAUUGAACCUACAGUUUAAGCAAGGGAGUUCAAAAUAUUGAUGAUGAUAUGGGCUUAUUGUGAGACCCUUAGAUGGCUUUUAAGAGAUAGAUUUAUCAUUGAGAACACCCACCUAUCGGAGGAUAGGUGUCAAUUAUAGGGUAGCGGUAUUUUGGAUAUAUU